This 390-nucleotide ribosomal RNA is filed under the name uncultured Ruminococcus sp. Its description in RNAcentral is "bacterial SSU rRNA". It matches the Rfam family "Bacterial small subunit ribosomal RNA", at positions 355 to 756 of the family's 1533-position model. Lineage: Bacteria; Bacillati; Bacillota; Clostridia; Eubacteriales; Oscillospiraceae. The record is from RNAcentral.
UGGGAAGUAUUGGGCGAAUGGGGCGCAAGCCUGACCCACGCAACGCCGCGUGAGGGAAGAAGGUUUUCGGUAUUGUAAACCUCUGUCAUCAGGGACGAAAAAGAACGGUACCUGAGAAGGAAGCUCCGGCUAACUACGUGCCAGCAGCCGCGGUAAUACGUAGGGAGCAAGCGUUAUCCGGAAUUACUGGGUGUAAAGGGAGUGUAGGCGGGACUGUAAGUCAGAUGUGAAAUAUGCCGGCUCAACUGGCAGACUGCAUUUGAAACUGUGGUUCUUGAGUGAGGUAGAGGUAAGCGGAAUUCCUGGUGUAGCGGUGAAAUGCGUAGAUAUCAGGAGGAACAUCAGUGGCGAAGGCGGCUUGCUGGGGCUUUAACUGACGCUGAGGCUCGA